UGCCAGCCGCCGCGGUAAUACGAAGGGUGCUAGCGUUGUUCGGAAUUACUGGGCGUAAAGAGCAUGUAGGCGGAUGAAUUAGUCAGAUGUGAAAGCCCCGGGCUCAACCUGGGAACUGCACCUGAUACUGCCAGUCUAGAAUACGGUAGAGGGUAGUGGAAUUUCCUGUGUAGCGGUGAAAUGCGUAGAUAUAGGAAGGAACACCAGUGGCGAAGGCGACUACCUGGACCGAUAUUGACACUGAGGUGCGAAAGCUAGGGUAGCGAACGGGAUUAGAUA
RNAcentral lists this ribosomal RNA (279 nucleotides) under uncultured bacterium. RNAcentral's name for it is "partial 16S ribosomal RNA". It matches the Rfam family "Bacterial small subunit ribosomal RNA", at positions 506 to 784 of the family's 1533-position model. The record is from RNAcentral.